ACCACCAGCUAUAUCACCCUGAACUCACCGCUGGCAAUGUACUGAAGCUAAGCAGCUGUGAGACUUGCCAGUACCUGGAUGGGAGACCUCCUGGAAAAGUCUGUUGCUGCUGGAA
This 115-nucleotide ribosomal RNA is filed under the name Lepisosteus oculatus (spotted gar). The record is from RNAcentral. Lineage: Eukaryota; Metazoa; Chordata; Actinopteri; Semionotiformes; Lepisosteidae.